CCUGGAACUCACUUGGUAGACAAGGCUGGCCUUAAAUUUACAGAGAUCCACCAGCCUCUGCAUCCUGAGUGCUGGGAU
This 78-nucleotide microRNA precursor is filed under the name Cricetulus griseus (Chinese hamster). RNAcentral's name for it is "miRNA (ENSCGRG00001004771.1)". Lineage: Eukaryota; Metazoa; Chordata; Mammalia; Rodentia; Cricetidae. The record is from RNAcentral.